CGGAUCUGUGGGGGGGAUGGCUCAGUAAUGGCUGUCUCUACCCGGACGGCGCGGCUGGUAACAGGCGCGUCGAUGCGUAGGCACGAAAGCAGGCGAGGUGUAAGGGUAACGGGUGGAGCCGACCUUGAAGGUAUUGAGCCCCGAAAAGAACAUGGGUGAGUGCCGACGGGUUUGUCCCCCCGGCAGGCAACAGACCGUGACGCGCUGUGGCGAGUGGCACGGGAACUCCCCGGGGUCCGAGACCA
This 245-nucleotide non-coding RNA is filed under the name Thiocapsa rosea. The record is from RNAcentral. Lineage: Bacteria; Pseudomonadati; Pseudomonadota; Gammaproteobacteria; Chromatiales; Chromatiaceae.